Rhineura floridana is the source of this 247-nucleotide long non-coding RNA. RefSeq lists it as uncharacterized. Lineage: Eukaryota; Metazoa; Chordata; Lepidosauria; Squamata; Rhineuridae. The record is from RefSeq and is a predicted model, not a curated record. The transcript is spliced from 2 exons.
GGAGUCCAUAUUGAACGUAGGUGGAAGCUACAGAAACCCCCCAACAGACAGCCAGAUCCACUGCCCCGCAUCAAAUCUCCAGAGAGAGUCAGCCAGAACUCCCAAAACUUUCUGUCUCUGUGUCUAAGAGUGCCGCAAGACAACAGACUAUGAUGGAAAUCAAAUUGGAUAUUAACACUCCUGCCGUUCAUCCAUUCAAAGAAACUGCACAGAUGUUCAGCCGAUCCCCUCCAAAUUAGAAACACAU